This 484-nucleotide ribosomal RNA is filed under the name uncultured bacterium. RNAcentral's name for it is "partial 16S ribosomal RNA". It matches the Rfam family "Bacterial small subunit ribosomal RNA", at positions 29 to 507 of the family's 1533-position model. The record is from RNAcentral.
AUUGAACGCUGGCGGCAGGCCUAACACAUGCAAGUCGAGCGGAUGAAGGGAGCUUGCUCCUGGAUUCAGCGGCGGACGGGUGAGUAAUGCCUAGGUAUCUGCCUGGUAGUGGGGGAUAACGUCCGGAAACGGGCGCUAAUACCGCAUACGUCCUGCGGGAGAAAGUGGGGGAUCUUCGGACCUCACGCUAUCAGAUGAGCCUAGGUCGGAUUAGCUAGUUGGUGGGGUAAAGGCUUUCCAAGGCGACUAUCCGUAACUGAUCUGAGAGGAUGAGCAGGCACAGUGGGAGUGAGACGCGGUCCAGACUCCGACGGGAGGCAGCAGUGGGGAAUAGUGGACGCAGGGGGAAAGCCUGAUCAAUGCGUGCCGGGUGGGUGAAGAAGGUCUGCGUAUGGGAAAGCGCUUUACGUGGUGAAGACCGGCAGUAAGCAAAACCCUUGCUGGUUUGACGUUACCGAGUAAAGAAGCACCGGCUAACUACGUG